RNAcentral lists this transfer RNA (72 nucleotides) under Mesocentrotus franciscanus. RNAcentral describes it as "tRNA-Gln". It matches the Rfam family "tRNA". Rfam says of the family: Transfer RNA (tRNA) molecules are approximately 80 nucleotides in length. The record is from RNAcentral. Lineage: Eukaryota; Metazoa; Echinodermata; Echinoidea; Camarodonta; Strongylocentrotidae.
UAAGGAGUAGUUUAACUGGAAAAACGAAGAACUUUGACUUCUUUGUCGUGGGUUCAAUUCCCACCUCCUUAA